GAGACAGCAGCCGCCACGGUAAUGCGUAGGUGGCAAGCGUUGUCCGGAAUUAUUGGGCGUAAAGGGCUCGCAGGCGGUUUCUUAAGUCUGAUGUGAAAGCCCCCGGCUCAGCCGGGGAGGGUCAUUGGAAACUGGGAAACUUGAGUGCAGAAGAGGAGAGUGGAAUUCCACGUGUAGCGGUGAAAUGCGUAGAGAUGUGGAGGAACACCAGUGACGAAGGCGACUCUCUGGUCUGUAACUGACGCUGAGGAGCAAAAGCGUGGGGAGCGAACAGGAUUAGAUACCACUGUAGUCCCUGUCUCUUAUAC
Molecule: ribosomal RNA, 308 nt
Filed under: uncultured bacterium
Lineage: Bacteria
Description: partial 16S ribosomal RNA
Rfam family: Bacterial small subunit ribosomal RNA
Source: RNAcentral